This 422-nucleotide ribosomal RNA is filed under the name uncultured bacterium. RNAcentral's name for it is "bacterial SSU rRNA". It matches the Rfam family "Bacterial small subunit ribosomal RNA", at positions 509 to 929 of the family's 1533-position model. The record is from RNAcentral.
CAGCAGCCGCGGUAAUACGUAGGGUGCGAGCGUUGUCCGGAAUCACUGGGCGUAAAGAGCUCGUAGGUGGUUUGUUGCGUCGUCUGUGAAAUUCCGGGGCUUAACUUCGGGGUGGCAGGCGAUACGGGCAUAACUAGAGUGCUGUAGGGGAGACUGGAAUUCCUGGUGUAGCGGUGGAAUGCGCAGAUAUCAGGAGGAACACCGAUGGCGAAGGCAGGUCUCUGGGCAGUAACUGACGCUGAGGAGCGAAAGCAUGGGGAGCGAACAGGAUUAGAUACCCUGGUAGUCCAUGCUGUAAACGGUGGGCGUUAGGUGUGGGGACCGGUUUGGUUUCUGUGCCGUAGCUAACGCAUUAAGCGCCCCGCCUGGGGAGUACGGCCGCAAGGCUAAAACUCAAAGGAAUUGACGGGGGCCCGCACAAG